This 497-nucleotide ribosomal RNA is filed under the name uncultured bacterium. RNAcentral describes it as "partial 16S ribosomal RNA". It matches the Rfam family "Bacterial small subunit ribosomal RNA", at positions 28 to 507 of the family's 1533-position model. The record is from RNAcentral.
GAUGAACGCUGGCGGCGUGCCUAAUACAUGCAAGUCGAGCGAACAGACGAGGAGCUUGCUCCUUUGACGUUAGCGGCGGACGGGUGAGUAACACGUAGGUAACCUACCUAUAAGACUGGGAUAACUUCGGGAAACCGGAGCUAAUACCGGAUAAUAUUUCGAACCGCAUGGUUCGAUAGUGAAAGAUGGCUUUGCUAUCACUUACAGAUGGACCUGCGCCGUAUUAGCUAGUUGGUAAGGUAACGGCUUACCAAGGCAACGAUACGUAGCCGACCUGAGAGGGUGAUCGGCCACACUGGAACUGAGACACGGUCCAGACUCCUACGGGAGGCAGCAGUAGGGAAUCUUCCGCAAUGGGCGAAAGCCUGACGGAGCAACGCCGCGUGAGUGAUGAAGGUCUUCGGAUCGUAAAACUCUGUUAUUAGGGAAGAACAAACGUGUAAGUAACUGUGCACGUCUUGACGGUACCUAAUCAGAAAGCCACGGCUAACUACGUG